Molecule: long non-coding RNA, 667 nt
Organism: Oncorhynchus tshawytscha (Chinook salmon)
Lineage: Eukaryota; Metazoa; Chordata; Actinopteri; Salmoniformes; Salmonidae
Exons: 3
Source: RefSeq, a predicted model, not a curated record
GAUGCAGGACUCAAUGAGAGUCAAUAAUUAACAGUGCUGAUAUUUAGUCUAUAUUAAUAUAUCAGUCAAUAUUCUGACUUUACUUAGUGUCUCUGCUUUGCCUGUUCCUGUUUACUGCUGGAGAACAAGCCACGACACCAAUUAUAUGUUCGAGAGAGAGGGAAGUAGUAAAACAAGGGGAUGCUGUGUACACUGAGUCUGUAACAUUACCAUCUGUCAUUAUUUUGACUGGUUGGCUGGUUUGUUGCUGGGUUGCUGGUUGGUUGCUUGGUGUUUGAUUCACAGUUCGUCUAAGGAUUAUCUGUGGACACAUUCUAAUGAUUUACACAGAUUAUACGAACCCAGGGUUUUCGACUUGCAAGACAGCAGGAGAAAUGAUUGAUAUGGGACCAGACCAGUCCUCUUCAGGAUUGUGAGACCUCCUCUCUGAGAGUUAUAAUGAGUUAUCAUCAGAUUGAUAUGGGACCAGACCAGUCCUCUUCAGGAUUGUGAGGUCUCCUCUCUGAGAGUUAUAAUGAGUUAUCAUCAGAUUGAUAUGGGACCAGACCAGUCCUCUUCAGGAUUGUGAGGUCUCCUCUCUGAGAGUUAUAAUGAGUUAUCAUCAGAUUGAUAUGGGACCAGACCAGUCCUCUUCAGGAUUGUGAGACCUCCUCUCUGAGAGUUAUAA